CCUACGGGAGGCAGCAGUCGAGAAUCAUUCACAAUGGGGGAAACCCUGAUGGAGCGACGCCGCGUGGGGGAAUGAAGGUCUGCGGAUUGUAAACCCCUGUCAUGUGGGAGCAAAUUAAAAAGAUAGUACCACAAGAGGAAGAGACGGCUAACUCUGUGCCAGCAGCCGCGGUAAUACAGAGGUCUCAAGCGUUGUUCGGAAUCACUGGGCGUAAAGCGUGCGUAGGCUGUUUCGUAAGUCGUGUGUGAAAGGCGCGGGCUCAACCCGCGGACGGCACAUGAUACUGCGAGCCUAGAGUAAGGGAGGGGGAACCGGAAUUCUCGGUGUAGCCGUGAAAUGCGUAGAUAUCGGGAGGAACACUCGUGGCGAAGGCGGGUUCCUGGACAUUAACUGACGCUGAGGCACGAAGGCCAGGGGAGCGAAAGGGAUUAGAUACCCUUGUAGUC
RNAcentral lists this ribosomal RNA (446 nucleotides) under uncultured bacterium. RNAcentral's name for it is "partial 16S ribosomal RNA". It matches the Rfam family "Bacterial small subunit ribosomal RNA", at positions 338 to 795 of the family's 1533-position model. The record is from RNAcentral.